Molecule: ribosomal RNA, 468 nt
Filed under: uncultured bacterium
Lineage: Bacteria
Description: partial 16S ribosomal RNA
Rfam family: Bacterial small subunit ribosomal RNA
Source: RNAcentral
GACGAACGCUGGCGGCGUGCUUAACACAUGCCAGUCGAACGGAAAGGCCCUGCUUUUGUGGGGUGCUCGAGUGGCGAACGGGUGAGUAACACGUGAGUAACCUGCCCUUGACUUUGGGAUAACUUCAGGAAACUGGGGCUAAUACCGGAUAGGAGCUCCUGCUGCAUGGUGGGGGUUGGAAAGUUUCGGCGGUUGGGGAUGGACUCGCGGCUUAUCAGCUUGUUGGUGGGGUAGUGGCUUACCAAGGCUUUGACGGGUAGCCGGCCUGAGAGGGUGACCGGCCACAUUGGGACUGAGAUACGGCCCAGACUCCUACGGGAGGCAGCAGUGGGGAAUAUUGCACAGUGGGCGGAAGCCUGAUGCAGCAACGCCGCGUGCGGGACGACGGCCUUCGGGUUGUAAACCGCUUUCGCCUGUGACGAAGCGUGAGUGACGGUAAUGGGUAAAGAAGCACCGGCUAACUACGUG